Molecule: ribosomal RNA, 253 nt
Filed under: uncultured bacterium
Lineage: Bacteria
Description: partial 16S ribosomal RNA
Rfam family: Bacterial small subunit ribosomal RNA
Source: RNAcentral
UACGAAGGGAGCUAGCGUUGUUCGGAAUCACUGGGAGUAAAGCGCACGUAGGCGGACUUGUCAGUCAGGGGUGAAAUCCCGGGGCUCAACCUCGGAACUGCCUCUGAUACAGCAAGUCUUGAGUCCGGAAGAGGUGGGUGGAAUUCCUAGUGUAGAGGUGAAAUUCGUAGAUAUUAGGAAGAACACCGGUGGCGAAGGCGGCCCACUGGUCCGGUACUGACGCUGAGGUGCGAAAGCGUGGGGAGCAAACAGG